UGGGGGAUAUUGCACAAUGGGCGCAAGCCUGAUGCAGCGACGCCGCGUGGGGGAUGACGGCUUUCGGGUUGUAAACCUCUUUCGUCGGGGGACAAGGCUCUGCUUGGUGGUGGGGUUGAGGGUACCCGGUGAAGAAGCGCCGGCUAACUACGUGCCAGCAGCCGCGGUAAUACGUAGGGCGCGAGCGUUGUCCGGAAUUAUUGGGCGUAAAGGGCUCGUAGGCGGCUUGUCGCGUCUGCUGUGAAAAUGCGGGGCUUAACUCCGUACGUGCAGUGGGUACGGGCAGGCUAGAGUGCGGUAGGGGUGACUGGAAUUCCUGGUGUAGCGGUGGAAUGCACAGAUAUCAGGAGGAACACCGAUGGCGAAGGCAGGUCUCUGGGCUGUAACUGACGCUGAGAAGCGAAAGCAUGGGGAGCGAACAGGAUUAGAUACCCUGGUAGUCCAUGCCGUAAACGUUGGGCACUAGGUGUGGGGGACAUUCCACGUUUUCCGCGCCGUAGCUAACGCAUUAAGUGCCCCGCCUGGGGAGUACGGCCGCAAGGCUA
RNAcentral lists this ribosomal RNA (545 nucleotides) under uncultured bacterium. RNAcentral describes it as "bacterial SSU rRNA". It matches the Rfam family "Bacterial small subunit ribosomal RNA", at positions 355 to 896 of the family's 1533-position model. The record is from RNAcentral.